UACAGAGGUGGCAAGCGUUGUUCGGAAUUACUGGGCGUAAAGGGCGCGUAGGCGGCCUUCUAAGUCAGACGUGAAAUCCCCCGGCUUAACCUGGGAACUGCGUCUGAUACUGGGAGGCUUGAGUAUGGGAGAGGGAUGCAGAAUUCCAGGUGUAGCGGUGAAAUGCGUAGAUAUCUGGAGGAAUACCGGUGGCGAAGGCGGCAUCCUGGACCGGCAUUGACGCUGAUGAGCGAAAGCUAGGGGAGCAAACGGG
RNAcentral lists this ribosomal RNA (253 nucleotides) under uncultured bacterium. RNAcentral describes it as "partial 16S ribosomal RNA". It matches the Rfam family "Bacterial small subunit ribosomal RNA", at positions 524 to 776 of the family's 1533-position model. The record is from RNAcentral.